AACGAACGCUGGCGGCAUGCCUAACACAUGCGAGUCGAACGAGACCUUCGGGUCUAGUGGCGCACGGGUGCGUAACGCGUGGGAACCUGCCCUUAGGUUCGGAAUAACUCCCCGAAAGGGGUGCUAAUACCGGAUAAUGUCUUCGGACCAAAGAUUUAUCGCCUUUGGAUGGGCCCGCGUUGGAUUAGCUAGUUGGUAGGGUAAAAGCCUACCAAGGCGACGAUCCAUAGCUGGUCUGAGAGGAUGAUCAGCCACACUGGGACUGAGACACGGCCCAGACUCCUACGGGAGGCAGCAGUGGGGAAUAUUGGACAAUGGGCGAAAGCCUGAUCCAGCAAUGCCGCGUGAGUGAUGAAGGCCUUAGGGUUGUAAAGCUCUUUUACCCGGGAUGAUAAUGACAGUACCGGGAGAAUAAGCGCCGGCUAACUCCGUG
RNAcentral lists this ribosomal RNA (433 nucleotides) under uncultured bacterium. RNAcentral's name for it is "partial 16S ribosomal RNA". It matches the Rfam family "Bacterial small subunit ribosomal RNA", at positions 29 to 507 of the family's 1533-position model. The record is from RNAcentral.